CCGUGCGGCGGCCUAUACUGCAAGUCGAGCGGAUCUAUGGGAGCUUGCUCCCUGAUUCACCGGCGGACGGGUGAGUAACACGUGGGUAACCUGCCUGUGAGACUGGGAUAACUCCGGGAAACCGGGGCUAAUACCGGAUAACUCAGUUCCUCUCAUGAGGAACUGUUGAAAGGUGGCUUUCACCUACCACUUACAGAUGGACCCGCGGCGCAUUAUCUAUUUGGUGAGGUAACGGCUCACCAAGGCAACGAUGCGUAUCCGACCUGAGAGGGUGAUCGGCCACACUGGGACUGAGACACGGCCCAGACUCCUACGGGAGGCGGCAGUAGGGAAUCUUCCCCAAUGGACAAAAGUCUGACAGAGCAACGCCGCGUGAGUGAAAAAAGUUUUCGGAUCGUAAAACUCUGUUGUUAUGGAAAAACAAGUGCCGUUCUAAUAGGGCGGCACCUUGACGGUACCUAACCACAAAGCCACGGCUAACUACAUGCCACCACCCGCGGUAAUACAUAUGUGGCAAGCGUUGUCCGGAUUUAUUGUGCGUAAAGCGCGCGCACGUGGUUUCUUAAAUCUGAUGUGAAAGCCCACGGCUCACCCGUGGAGGGUCAUUGUAAACUGGGGAACUUGAGUGCGCAAAAGAAAAGUGGAAUUCUCAGUGUAUCGGUGAAAUGCGUAUAUAUUUGGAGGAACACCAGUGGCGAAAGCGACUUUCUGGUCUGUAACUGACACUGAGGCGCGAAAGCGUGUGGAGCACACAGGAUUAUAUACCCUGGGAGUCCACGCCGUAUACGAUGAGUGCUAAG
Molecule: ribosomal RNA, 800 nt
Filed under: Bacillus sp. JSM 101105
Lineage: Bacteria; Bacillati; Bacillota; Bacilli; Caryophanales; Bacillaceae
Description: bacterial SSU rRNA
Rfam family: Bacterial small subunit ribosomal RNA
Source: RNAcentral